RNAcentral lists this ribosomal RNA (494 nucleotides) under Escherichia coli. RNAcentral's name for it is "partial 23S ribosomal RNA". It matches the Rfam family "Bacterial large subunit ribosomal RNA", at positions 2261 to 2754 of the family's 2925-position model. Lineage: Bacteria; Pseudomonadati; Pseudomonadota; Gammaproteobacteria; Enterobacterales; Enterobacteriaceae. The record is from RNAcentral. RNAcentral also lists the same sequence under 2 other names.
GUGGGUAGUUUGACUGGGGCGGUCUCCUCCUAAAGAGUAACGGAGGAGCACGAAGGUUGGCUAAUCCUGGUCGGACAUCAGGAGGUUAGUGCAAUGGCAUAAGCCAGCUUGACUGCGAGCGUGACGGCGCGAGCAGGUGCGAAAGCAGGUCAUAGUGAUCCGGUGGUUCUGAAUGGAAGGGCCAUCGCUCAACGGAUAAAAGGUACUCCGGGGAUAACAGGCUGAUACCGCCCAAGAGUUCAUAUCGACGGCGGUGUUUGGCACCUCGAUGUCGGCUCAUCACAUCCUGGGGCUGAAGUAGGUCCCAAGGGUAUGGCUGUUCGCCAUUUAAAGUGGUACGCGAGCUGGGUUUAGAACGUCGUGAGACAGUUCGGUCCCUAUCUGCCGUGGGCGCUGGAGAACUGAGGGGGGCUGCUCCUAGUACGAGAGGACCGGAGUGGACGCAUCACUGGUGUUCGGGUUGUCAUGCCAAUGGCACUGCCCGGUAGCUAAAU